RNAcentral lists this non-coding RNA (43 nucleotides) under Trypanosoma brucei brucei. Lineage: Eukaryota; Euglenozoa; Kinetoplastea; Trypanosomatida; Trypanosomatidae. The record is from RNAcentral.
AAUGUAAUAAAUCUAAUAGAGAUAAGAUAGAACUGAGGAUAUA